Molecule: long non-coding RNA, 406 nt
Filed under: Hordeum vulgare
Lineage: Eukaryota; Viridiplantae; Streptophyta; Magnoliopsida; Poales; Poaceae
Description: long non-coding RNA (HVUL_LNC007866)
Source: RNAcentral
CAUCUCCCGUACAGCACCAGAAGACUCAACUUGCACAGGAUUAGCCAAUCUAAAUUCAGCCACCUCAGCACCAAUAGCGUCAUUAGCAUGUGCUGCAGCUGGACGGUGAAAAUCCGAGGGUGGAGCAGCAAAAUGCUCCUGUACAGCACCAGAAGACUCAACUUGCACAGGAUUAGCCAAUCUAAAUUCAGCCACCUCAGCACCAAUAGCGUCAUUAGCAUGUGCUGCAGCUGGACGGUGAAAAUCCGAGGGUGGAGGCAGCAAAAUGCUCCUGUACAGCACCAGAAGACUCAACUUGCACAGGAUUAGCCAAUCUAAAUUCAGCCAUCUCAGCACCAACAGCAUUAUUAGCAUGUGAUGCAGCUAGAUGGAGAAAAUACUGAGGGUGGAGCAGCAAAAUUCUCCU